RNAcentral lists this ribosomal RNA (409 nucleotides) under bacterium. Its description in RNAcentral is "partial 16S ribosomal RNA". It matches the Rfam family "Bacterial small subunit ribosomal RNA", at positions 355 to 776 of the family's 1533-position model. The record is from RNAcentral.
UGGGGAAUAUUGCACAAUGGGCGAAAGCCUGAUGCAGCGACGCCGCGUGAGGGAUGACGGCCUUCGGGUUGUAAACCUCUUUCAGCAGGGACGAAGCGCAAGUGACGCUACCUGCAGAAGAAGCACCGGCUAACUACGUGCCAGCAGCCGCGGUAAUACGUAGGGUGCAAGCGUUGUCCGGAAUUACUGGGUGUAAAGAGUUCGUAGGCGGUUUGUCGCGUCGUUUGUGAAAACCAGCAGCUCAACUGCUGGCUUGCAGGCGAUACGGGCAGACUUGAGUACUGCAGGGGAGACUGGAAUUCCUGGUGUAGCGGUGAAAUGCGCAGAUAUCAGGAGGAACACCGGUGGCGAAGGCGGGUCUCUGGGCAGUAACUGACGCUGAGGAACGAAAGCGUGGGUAGCGAACAGG